UACGGGGGGGGCAAGCGUUGUUCGGAAUUAUUGGGCGUAAAGAGCGUGUAGGCGGCCAGAUAAGUCCGCUGUGAAAUCUCGAGGCUCAACUUCGAGCUGUCGGUGGAAACUAUCUGGCUAGAGUCCGGAAGAGGAGAAUGGAAUUCCUGGUGUAGCGGUGAAAUGCGCAGAUAUCAGGAAGAACACCCGUGGCGAAGGCGGUUCUCUGGGACGGUACUGACGCUGAGGUGCGAAAGCGUGGGGAGCAAACAGG
Molecule: ribosomal RNA, 253 nt
Filed under: uncultured bacterium
Lineage: Bacteria
Description: partial 16S ribosomal RNA
Rfam family: Bacterial small subunit ribosomal RNA
Source: RNAcentral